AUUGAACGCUGGCGGCAUGCCUAACACAUGCAAGUCGAACGGCAGCACAGCAGUAGCAAUACUGUGGGUGGCGAGUGGCGGACGGGUGAGGAAUACGUCGGAAUCUGCCCAGUCGUGGGGGAUAACUAGCCGAAAGGUUAGCUAAUACCGCAUACGACCGAGAGGUGAAAGCGGGGGACCGCAAGGCCUCGCGCGAUUGGAUGAGCCGACGUCGGAUUAGCUAGUUGGCGGGGUAAAGGCCCACCAAGGCGACGAUCCGUAGCUGGUCUGAGAGGAUGAUCAGCCACACUGGAACUGAGACACGGUCCAGACUCCUACGGGAGGCAGCAGUGGGGAAUAUUGGACAAUGGGCGCAAGCCUGAUCCAGCAAUGCCGCGUGUGUGAAGAAGGCCUUCGGGUUGUAAAGCACUUUUAUCAGGAACGAAAAGCGUUGGAUUAAUACUCUGACGUGCUGACGGUACCUGAGGAAUAAGCACCGGCUAACUUCGUGCCAGCCGCCGCCGUAA
This 506-nucleotide ribosomal RNA is filed under the name uncultured bacterium. Its description in RNAcentral is "partial 16S ribosomal RNA". It matches the Rfam family "Bacterial small subunit ribosomal RNA", at positions 29 to 523 of the family's 1533-position model. The record is from RNAcentral.